CGGGAGGCAGCAGUUAGGAAUCUUCCACAAUGGGCGCAAGCCUGAUGGAGCGACACUGCGUGAGGGAAGAAGGCUCUAGGGUCGUAAACCUCUAAAAGUGAGACGAUAAUGACGGUAUCACUUGAGAAGCACCGGCUAACUCCGUGCCAGCAGCCGCGGUAAUACGGAGGGUGCAAACGUUAUCCGGAAUCACUGGGCGUAAAGGGCACGUAGGCGGAUUGUUAAGUCCGAUGUUAAAGCGUGGGGCUCAACCCCAUUAUGGCGUUGGAUACUGGCAAGCUAGACGAUUGGAGAGGUAAGUAGAAUUACCAGUGUAGCGGUGGAAUGCGUAGAUACUGGUAGGAAUACCAAUAGCGAAGGCAGCUUACUGGACAAUAUGUGACGCUGAGGUGCGAAAGUGGGGGGAGCGAACCGGAUUAGAUACCCGGGUAGUCCACACCCUAAAC
RNAcentral lists this ribosomal RNA (446 nucleotides) under uncultured bacterium. RNAcentral's name for it is "bacterial SSU rRNA". It matches the Rfam family "Bacterial small subunit ribosomal RNA", at positions 342 to 807 of the family's 1533-position model. The record is from RNAcentral.